RNAcentral lists this non-coding RNA (174 nucleotides) under Gimesia chilikensis. Lineage: Bacteria; Pseudomonadati; Planctomycetota; Planctomycetia; Planctomycetales; Planctomycetaceae. The record is from RNAcentral.
UCCACCGCGAGGUGGAAUCUGAAGGAAGCAGCAGGCAAACUCCUGGCCCGAGGAACACGAAUCACAUAUGAGGCGCCGGUUGGAUGGGCGAGAGGGCUGUAAGACUCGAAGCCCGAUGUCAUCUGGAUCGAAUCGGCGUAUAUGUGGCGGGUAUAUGGGAGGAAAGUCACGCGU